CUUUUGGCUCUCUGUGCAGCACCAUGGCGGUUGGCAAGAAUAAGUGCCUUACGAAAGGCGGCAAAAAGGGAGCCAAGAAGAAAGUGGUUGACCCAUUUUCUAAGAAAGAUUGGUAUGAUGUGAAAGCACCAGCUAUGUUCAAUAUAAGAAAUAUUGGGAAAACACUGGUCACAAGAACUCAAGGAACCAAAGUUGCAUCUGACAGCCUCAAGGGUCGUGUGUUUGAAGUGAGCCUUGCCUAUCUGCAGAACGAUGAAGUUGCAUUUAGAAAAUUCAAGCUGAUUACUGAGGAUGUUCAGGGCAAAAACUGCUUGACCAACUUCCACGGCAUGGAUCUUACCCAUGACAAGAUGUGCUCAAUGGUCAAAAAACGGCAGACCAUGAUUGAAGCUCACGUUGAUGUCAAGACUACCGAUGGUUAUUUGCUUCGUCUGUUCUGUGUUGGUUUUACUAAAAAAUGCAACAAUCAGAUUCGGAAGACCUCUUACACCCAGCACCAACAAGUCUGCCAAAUCCAGAAGAAGAUGAUGGAAAUCAUGACACGAGAGGUGCAGACAAAUGACUUGAAAGAGGUGGUCAAUAAAUUGAUUCAAGACAGCAUUGGAAAGGACAUAGAAAAGGCUUGCCAAUCUAUUUAUCUGCUUCAUGACGUCUUCGUUGGAAAAGUAAAAAUGCUGAAGAAGCCCAAGUUUGAAUUGGGAAAACUCAUGGAGCUACAUGGUGAAGGUAGUAGUUCUGGAAAAGCUACUGGGGAUGAGACAGGUGCUAAAGUUGAAUGAGCUGAUGACGAUGAGCCCCCAGUGCAAGAAUCUGUUUAAAAUUCAGAGUUUUAAUGGUGACAAAUAAAAGAUCUUAUUUGUGAUGUUUAAAAAAAAA
Molecule: RNA transcript, 876 nt
Organism: Sus scrofa (pig)
Lineage: Eukaryota; Metazoa; Chordata; Mammalia; Artiodactyla; Suidae
Gene name: small ribosomal subunit protein eS1 pseudogene
Source: RefSeq, a predicted model, not a curated record